AACGGGGAAAUGUUUGACUCUAAAUCUCGGUUAAAAUGUCUCGCUCGGGAGGACGUGGAGAGCGUUAAUUAGUAAGCCGGGGACUUUGUCAUCGACGUAGCACCGGGCGGCCCAGCUCUUCCAGAAACAUCCGCGCCAUUUCAGCGUUCGAGGAUUCCUGCUCAGAGGGCCCUGAAUUUGAGAAGUGCCGAUUGGCGCAGUAUUGGUGUACUGGUGCUAACGAAGCCCGAUAGCAUUUCAAAUGGUCUUGAAACUCCACCAGAAAAAAUGGUUGAAGGAAGAAAAGGUGGUUUGCAAUAAAAAUUCUACGUGACACCA
Long non-coding RNA from Anguilla anguilla (European eel), 318 nucleotides. RefSeq lists it as uncharacterized. Lineage: Eukaryota; Metazoa; Chordata; Actinopteri; Anguilliformes; Anguillidae. The record is from RefSeq and is a predicted model, not a curated record. The transcript is spliced from 2 exons.